AUGAUCCGUCAAUAUUGGUGGGGUGUUGAAAACGGGAAGAAGAAGAUGGCCUGGAUGAGCUGGGACAGAUUGAGGCUACCUAAAUCUAUGGGUGGCAUGGGGUUUAAGGACAUGAGGGCUUUUAACCAAGCAUUGUUGGCCAAACAAGCUUGGCGCUUGAUAGACACGUCGGACAGCCUCUGUGCACGAUUUAUGAAGGCCAGAUAUUACCCUUCGGGACAGCUGUUGGAUACGGCUUUCUCAGGCAACGGUUCUUCAGUUUGAAAGGGUAUUUUACAUGGUCUUGACCUGCUAAAGAGAGUUCUUAUUUGGAGGGUUGGCAACGGAGCUGAUAUUUGUACGUGGAGAGACCUUUGGAUCCCU
RNAcentral lists this ribosomal RNA (363 nucleotides) under Triticum aestivum (bread wheat). Its description in RNAcentral is "partial small subunit ribosomal RNA". The record is from RNAcentral. Lineage: Eukaryota; Viridiplantae; Streptophyta; Magnoliopsida; Poales; Poaceae.